Molecule: ribosomal RNA, 529 nt
Filed under: uncultured bacterium
Lineage: Bacteria
Description: bacterial SSU rRNA
Rfam family: Bacterial small subunit ribosomal RNA
Source: RNAcentral
AAUAGAUACCCCGGUAGUCCACGCCGUAAACGAUGAAUGCUAGGUGUCAGGGGUUAUGACACCCUUGGUGCCGAAGUUAACACAUUAAGCAUUCCGCCUGGGGAGUACGGUCGCAAGACUGAAACUCAAAGGAAUUGACGGGGACCCGCACAAGCAGUGGAGUAUGUGGUUUAAUUCGAAGCAACGCGAAGAACCUUACCAGGUCUUGACAUCCCUCUGACCGGUGCAGAGAUGCACCUUUCCUUCGGGACAGAGGUGACAGGUGGUGCAUGGUUGUCGUCAGCUCGUGUCGUGAGAUGUUGGGUUAAGUCCCGCAACGAGCGCAACCCUUGAAUUCAGUUGCCAGCACGUAGUGGUGGGCACUCUGAAUUGACUGCCGGUGACAAACCGGAGGAAGGUGGGGAUGAUGUCAAAUCAUCAUGCCCCUUAUGACCUGGGCUACACACGUACUACAAUGGCCGGUACAACGGGAAGCGAAGCGGCGACGCGGAGCGAAUCCUUAGAAGCCGGUCUCAGUUCGGAUUGCAGG